RNAcentral lists this transfer RNA (72 nucleotides) under Bos taurus (domestic cattle). It matches the Rfam family "tRNA". Rfam says of the family: Transfer RNA (tRNA) molecules are approximately 80 nucleotides in length. Their secondary structure includes four short double-helical elements and three loops (D, anti-codon, and T loops). Lineage: Eukaryota; Metazoa; Chordata; Mammalia; Artiodactyla; Bovidae. The record is from Rfam by way of RNAcentral. RNAcentral also lists the same sequence under 1 other name.
UCCCUGGUGGCUCAGAUGGUAGAGUAUCUGCUUACAAUGCAGGAGACCCAGGUUUGAUCCCUGGGUCGGGAA